CGGAUGUAGCCAAGUGGAUCANGGCAGUG
Molecule: transfer RNA, 29 nt
Filed under: Sicyos quinquelobatus
Lineage: Eukaryota; Viridiplantae; Streptophyta; Magnoliopsida; Cucurbitales; Cucurbitaceae
Description: partial tRNA-His
Source: RNAcentral